CAUUUGCAGCUGUCAUUCUCAUCUUAGAGCUGAGAUCCUGAGGUGACCCCUCAGCCUCCUCGCCCUGGGAGGUGCUGGCCUUGCUCCUUGGGGGAGAGCGGGUGAUCCUGGCCUCUAGGAAAGCUGAAGAAUACAGGGAGCAAAGUUCAACUGUAGUCUAAAGACCCUGUGACUUCCAUUUUCCAGGAGGGACUGCUACUUAAUCUGCUGAGUCCAAAGCAUGGACUAGAUUGAGGUGUGAGAAAAUUAUGUGAAGUGCCUGUGCUGGUGAAAGCCUGACAAAAGGAAACAACCCUGUUCUUCUCAGAGAAUGUGAAAGCAAAUACCUCAUUUGAAAUUGCUGGGGACGCCUGGUUUCUCACAUGAAGUUGGGAGCACACUAGGAGCCUUUCCCAACACACAGCGCUCUAUUCAAUGCGAUGCAGAGCAGAAACAAACCAAUGCUGGGACCAAACAUGUGGUAUGGAUUGUGAUUACAAAGAUCAGUAAUGAGGACAGCACCCUACAGUUACUCCAGUGGUUUCUGCUAGCCACAGUUUCCUGUGCAACCUGA
This 553-nucleotide long non-coding RNA is filed under the name Manacus vitellinus (golden-collared manakin). RNAcentral describes it as "lncRNA (ENSMVIG00005005791.1)". The record is from RNAcentral. Lineage: Eukaryota; Metazoa; Chordata; Aves; Passeriformes; Pipridae.